Molecule: ribosomal RNA, 253 nt
Filed under: uncultured bacterium
Lineage: Bacteria
Description: partial 16S ribosomal RNA
Rfam family: Bacterial small subunit ribosomal RNA
Source: RNAcentral
UACGUAGGGUGCAAGCGUUAAUCGGAAUUACUGGGCGUAAAGCGUGCGCAGGCGGUUAUACAAGACAGAUGUGAAGUCCCCGGGCUCAACCUGGGAAUUGCAUUUGUGACUGUAUGGCUAGAGUGUGUCAGAGGGGGGUAGAAUUCCACGUGUAGCAGUGAAAUGCGUAGAUAUGUGGAGGAAUACCGAUGGCGAAGGCAGCCCCCUGGGAUAACACUGACGCUCAUGCACGAAAGCGUGGGGAGCAAACAGG